RNAcentral lists this transfer RNA (93 nucleotides) under Gammaproteobacteria bacterium. RNAcentral describes it as "tRNA-Ser". It matches the Rfam family "tRNA". Rfam says of the family: Transfer RNA (tRNA) molecules are approximately 80 nucleotides in length. Their secondary structure includes four short double-helical elements and three loops (D, anti-codon, and T loops). Further hydrogen bonds mediate the characteristic L-shaped molecular structure. tRNAs have two regions of fundamental functional importance: the anti-codon, which is responsible for specific mRNA codon recognition, and the 3' end, to which the tRNAs corresponding amino acid is attached (by aminoacyl-tRNA synthetases). tRNAs cope with the degeneracy of the genetic code in two manners: having more than one tRNA (with a specific anti-codon) for a particular amino acid; and 'wobble' base-pairing, i.e. permitting non-standard base-pairing at the 3rd anti-codon position. Lineage: Bacteria; Pseudomonadati; Pseudomonadota; Gammaproteobacteria. The record is from RNAcentral.
GGAGAGAUGGCCGAGUGGCUGAAGGCGCUCCCCUGCUAAGGGAGUAUACGGUUUGUAGCCGUAUCGGGGGUUCGAAUCCCCCUCUCUUCGCCA